This is a long non-coding RNA of Salvia miltiorrhiza (redroot sage), 1113 nucleotides long. RefSeq lists it as uncharacterized. The record is from RefSeq and is a predicted model, not a curated record. The transcript is spliced from 2 exons. NCBI's taxonomy places the organism in Eukaryota, Viridiplantae, Streptophyta, Magnoliopsida, Lamiales, Lamiaceae.
CCAACCCAAUUGAGCCUAAUCUCAAUCAGCCUAAUUCAUUUAUUAAUCACUUAGAUAUUUCCUUAAUUUUGAUUAAGAAAUUGUGGAUAGGAUGGAUCCACGUAACCUCUUUAGUCACCUUUCUUCUUUAAGAAGCCCCAUUCACCAAAAGUUUCAUCCAAGCGCAGCAACUUCUCCCUAGCAAUUGGUAUAUACUCUAUCUUUCAAUUAAUUUCUGCACACCCAUUGUCUCUGCAAAAUUUCUUGCGCAGAAAUCAACCUAUAUUCUCUGCAAACUCUCUGUGCAGCAACUCAUACUUAGAGAGGGAGGCCACGGCGCGGCGGCUCCGCCCGCUGUUGCCGGGUCAAGGACGGAGAGGGAGAGAUGAGGCGGUGGAGCAGGGGCUAGGGCGCGGGGGAUGUCUGGCCGAGUGCAGGAGAGAGAUGCGGCACUGUCGUCUAAAAUUUGGGCGGUGGUGACGUCCUUAAGCCGGAAAGAGAGAUGGGGCCCUGGGUGGCGGUGGCUGGCCUCACCAGCCACUACGGUUGCCGGAGUCGAGAGAGGGGAAGGAGGGCUGUUAGAGAGUUGGGGCAAGGGGUUUUCAGAGGAAGAAAGGGGUGGCGGUGGUUCUCCAGCCAUCAAGGGAGCUGAGAACGCGGCGGCGGCCAUGGUGGUGAUGGCUGUCACCGGAAAUUUUGUGGGAGAAAGCCGCGGCGUUUUUUAUUGUGUGAGUGUGUACCGCCGUGAGGGAGAAAGAGAGAGACAUGGGAGGGGUUGAGAAGCAAGAGGGCGACGGCGGUCAGGCGGCGGAGGCGACGCUACCGCCGCCGGAGAAGAAGAGAGGGGGGUGGGAGAGGGUGCCUGCUGCGGCGCAGCUGUGUGUGCGCGUGUGUUUGUGUGUGUUUAAAGAGAUGAAGAAAGACUUUGGGCUUUAGGUUUGUUCUGCACUCCCAAGCACAAGCGUAAUUAAUUAUCAGUGUGAUCAAUUAACUGUGAACGUAGGAAAGGUUUUUCGAACUACGUUACAAAUCUCUAUGUCAUUUAUAGCUUUCAGUAUUUCAUAUUCUAUCUGUACACAAAGCUUAUGUAUUGAAACUAUUAACUUGAAAAGAGAAACAUUAAAAUUGACAAUC